This 63-nucleotide transfer RNA is filed under the name Camelus bactrianus (Bactrian camel). It matches the Rfam family "tRNA", at positions 5 to 66 of the family's 71-position model. Rfam says of the family: Transfer RNA (tRNA) molecules are approximately 80 nucleotides in length. Their secondary structure includes four short double-helical elements and three loops (D, anti-codon, and T loops). Further hydrogen bonds mediate the characteristic L-shaped molecular structure. tRNAs have two regions of fundamental functional importance: the anti-codon, which is responsible for specific mRNA codon recognition, and the 3' end, to which the tRNAs corresponding amino acid is attached (by aminoacyl-tRNA synthetases). tRNAs cope with the degeneracy of the genetic code in two manners: having more than one tRNA (with a specific anti-codon) for a particular amino acid; and 'wobble' base-pairing, i.e. permitting non-standard base-pairing at the 3rd anti-codon position. The record is from Rfam by way of RNAcentral. RNAcentral also lists the same sequence under 2 other names. Lineage: Eukaryota; Metazoa; Chordata; Mammalia; Artiodactyla; Camelidae.
GUACAGCUCAGUGGUAGAGCGUGUGCUUAGCAUGCAUGAGGUCCUGGGUUCAAUCCCCAGUAC